RNAcentral lists this ribosomal RNA (374 nucleotides) under uncultured organism. RNAcentral describes it as "partial 16S ribosomal RNA". It matches the Rfam family "Bacterial small subunit ribosomal RNA", at positions 527 to 896 of the family's 1533-position model. The record is from RNAcentral.
GAGGGGUGCAAGCGUUACUCGGAAUUACUGGGCGUAAAGCGUGCGUAGGUGGUCGUUUAAGUCUGUUGUGAAAGCCCUGGGCUCAACCUGGGAACUGCAGUGGAAACUGGACGACUAGAGUGUGGUAGAGGGUAGCGGAAUUCCUGGUGUAGCAGUGAAAUGCGUAGAGAACAGGAGGAACAUCCAUGGCGAAGGCAGCUACCUGGACCAACACUGACACUGAGGCACGAAAGCGUGGGGGGAGCAAACAGGAUUAGAUACCCGUGGUAGUCCACGCCCUAAACCGAUGCGAACUGGAUGUUGGGUGCAAUUUGGCACGCAGUAUCGAAGCUAACGCGUUAAGUUCGCCGCCCUGGGAGUACGGUCGCAGACUG